UGGUGGUGAUAGAAGAGAGUGAGCACACAUGGUGUUUUCUUGCAUGAUGUUUAUAUAUAUAUAUGCUUGAAACUAUGUGUGCUUACUCUCUAUCUGUCACCCCCA
This 105-nucleotide microRNA precursor is filed under the name Solanum lycopersicum (tomato). Its description in RNAcentral is "miR156e stem-loop (sly-MIR156e)". Its record names the gene sly-MIR156e. It matches the Rfam family "mir-156 microRNA precursor family". From Rfam's summary of the family: This family represents the plant microRNA (miRNA) precursor mir-156. Animal miRNAs are transcribed as ~70nt precursors and subsequently processed by the Dicer enzyme to give a ~22nt product. The record is from miRBase by way of RNAcentral. Lineage: Eukaryota; Viridiplantae; Streptophyta; Magnoliopsida; Solanales; Solanaceae.